Molecule: ribosomal RNA, 232 nt
Filed under: uncultured bacterium
Lineage: Bacteria
Description: partial 16S ribosomal RNA
Rfam family: Bacterial small subunit ribosomal RNA
Source: RNAcentral
CGGACGGGUGAGUAAUGUCUGGGAAACUGCCCGAUGGAGGGGGAUAACUACUGGAAACGGUAGCUAAUACCGCAUAACGUCGCAAGAUCAAAGAGGGGGACCUUAGGGCCUCUUGCCAUCGGAUGUGCCCAGAUGGGAUUAGCUAGUAGGUGGGGUAACGGCUCACCUAGGCGACGAUCCCUAGCUGGUCUGAGAGGAUGACCAGCCACACUGGAACUGAGACACGGUCCAG